GUUAAGCAUCCCGCCUGUGGAGUACGGUCGCAAGACUAAAACAUAAAGGAAUUGACGGGGACCCGCACAAGCGGUGGAGCGUGUUGUUUAAUUCGAUGGUAAGCGAAGAACCUUACCCAGGCUUGACAUCCUUGGAAGCUUUCCGAAAGGAAAGUGUGCUUUAUUGAGCCAAGUGACAGGUGAUGCAUGGCCGUCGUCAGCUCGUGUCGUGAGAUGUUUGGUUAAGUCCAUCAACGAGCGCAACCCUUGUGAUUAGUUGAAUUUUUCUAAUCAGACUGCCCUGGUAACAGGGGGGAAGGAGGGGAUGAUGUCAGGUCAGUAUUUCCCUUACGUCUGGGGCUACAAACACGCUACAAUGGCCGGUACAAAGGGCAGCCAAGUCGCAAGACGGAGCAAAUCCCAUCAAAGCCGGUCCCAGUUCGGAUAGCAGGCUGAAACUCGCCUGCUUGAAGUCGGAAUCGCUAGUAACGGUAGGUCAGCUAUACUACCGUGAAUACGUUCCCGGGUCUUGAACACACCGCCCGUC
RNAcentral lists this ribosomal RNA (526 nucleotides) under uncultured Candidatus Saccharibacteria bacterium. Its description in RNAcentral is "bacterial SSU rRNA". It matches the Rfam family "Bacterial small subunit ribosomal RNA", at positions 859 to 1398 of the family's 1533-position model. Lineage: Bacteria; Candidatus Saccharimonadota. The record is from RNAcentral.